CAUUUUGAAUUCUUUAGUAAUAAAUUUUUUACAUUAUUGAUUCGCGUAUCGAAACAAAAUGUUGAAACUCUAAAAUCUAAAAAGUUGUGGAUCUUUUAUAACUAUUUUUGUUAAUAUCAAAGACACAAGAUUGAGAAGUUAAAACUCCGCGAAGUGAAAAUGAAAGAGUCUGUUGUGCUAGCCAUCUACGGCAUUAUAUUGUUUUACUCCUUUGCCAAAGUGAUUGCUCACGAUAAUUCAACGCUCAAGACAUUCAACGUUCAUCGUAAUUCGGCGUUUUCGACUGGUUUCGAGUUCGAAGACCAAAAAGUUCGACUGUUUAAACUCGUUGGUUUAUUGUGUAUCAUUGUUCUCACAGGAUGCAUGGUAUGCUGUUGCGUUUGCAGCUUUAGCAAGUCAAGACGAAGGCGAAGAUGGAUCUUAGUAGAGAGAGUUGGUUUUAAAGAUGACGAAUUUUUGCUACCGGAUGAUGACGACGAUCAAGGAAGGCAAACAAGCUGUUUGCGUGAGGAACGCAAACGGCUUGCUUUGUAAAACAUGCCGGUCGCAAAUUAAGGGUGUAUUAAACAACAAGACUUUUAUACAAUUUGAAGCAUUGUGAUAUUUUCAAUGCCUUUCAUUGUGCUAAGCACGCGGGUGUAUUGUGAGCUACAUGCAUGUACAGGAUAACUCAAAAAACUGCUCAUCUUUGAAAUCAGCCGACAUUUAGAAUUUGUAUGAUUCCCCAUGGAAGCGAAUUGAAAUGAAUUUUAUGCUUGAAGUUUGCAAUAAACAGAAGCCGCAAUUUGUUAUUAUUGUUUCCGACUGCGUUUCACAUCUUUCGGGAUCAAUAGCUACGGAAUAAUGUCAAUUGUAAACGUCGGCUGACUUCAAAUAUGAUCAGUAUACCUUUAUUACGAGCAUAAAAACUUUCUGCUCCUGGAAAUUUGACAGAACUUCUGCAAAACAUGCACAGUAAUGCUCAAGAGAGAUUAGCAUAGUGCUUGGGAAUUGAAGUUUCACAAUAGGAUAAAUUCUAUCGUUGUUAUUUUUUAUGAUACACUCUGUAGAAUAACUUAUGUACUACAUAAUUGUUGAUUGCUGUAUCUUUGGAAAUAUCAGGCUUAAUAUCGUAAAUAUAUUGUUUAAGCUAG
Molecule: long non-coding RNA, 1133 nt
Organism: Xenia sp. Carnegie-2017
Lineage: Eukaryota; Metazoa; Cnidaria; Anthozoa; Malacalcyonacea; Xeniidae
Exons: 4
Source: RefSeq, a predicted model, not a curated record